This 240-nucleotide unclassified non-coding RNA is filed under the name uncultured Lanzia. Its description in RNAcentral is "partial contains 5.8S ribosomal RNA, internal transcribed spacer 2, and large subunit ribosomal RNA". The stretch from base 1 to 52 matches the Rfam family "5.8S ribosomal RNA", at positions 103 to 154 of the family's 154-position model. Lineage: Eukaryota; Fungi; Ascomycota; Leotiomycetes; Helotiales; Rutstroemiaceae. The record is from RNAcentral.
AACGCACAUUGCGCCCCUUGGUAUUCCGAGGGGCAUGCCUGUUCGAGCGUCAUUUAUACCAACUCCUCUCUAUAGAGGGUCUUGGGCUUCGCCUCUGGGCGGGUCUUAAAAUUAGUGGCGGUGCCUUGAGGCUCUACGCGUAGUAAUACACCCCGCGAUAGAACCCUUGAGGUAUCUUGCCAGCAACCCCCAACUUUCUAGGUUGACCUCGGAUCAGGUAGGGAUACCCGCUGAACUUAA